RNAcentral lists this ribosomal RNA (253 nucleotides) under uncultured bacterium. RNAcentral describes it as "partial 16S ribosomal RNA". It matches the Rfam family "Bacterial small subunit ribosomal RNA", at positions 524 to 776 of the family's 1533-position model. The record is from RNAcentral.
UACGUAGGUGGCGAGCGUUAUCCGGAUUUAUUGGGCGUAAAGGGAACGCAGGCGGUCUUUUAAGUCUGAUGUGAAAGCCUUCGGCUUAACCGGAGUAGUGCAUUGGAAACUGGGAGACUUGAGUGCAGAAGAGGAGAGUGGAACUCCAUGUGUAGCGGUGAAAUGCGUAGAUAUAUGGAAGAACACCAGUGGCGAAAGCGGCUCUCUGGUCUGUAACUGACGCUGAGGUUCGAAAGCGUGGGUAGCAAACGGG